UCUCCGGUCCUCUAACUGGUAGGAGAGCGCACUUUGAAUGCGCGAAUGCAGGUUCGAGUCCUGCCCGGAGAUCCA
Molecule: transfer RNA, 75 nt
Filed under: hydrothermal vent metagenome
Description: tRNA-Gln-TTG
Rfam family: tRNA
About the family: Transfer RNA (tRNA) molecules are approximately 80 nucleotides in length.
Source: RNAcentral